Molecule: small RNA, 464 nt
Filed under: uncultured Glomus
Lineage: Eukaryota; Fungi; Glomeromycota; Glomeromycetes; Glomerales; Glomeraceae
Description: SSU rRNA
Rfam family: Eukaryotic small subunit ribosomal RNA
Source: RNAcentral
AGCAGCCGCGGUAAUUCCAGCUCCAAUAGCGUAUAUUAAAGUUGUUGCAGUUAAAAAGCUCGUAGUUGAAUUUCGGGAUCAAUACGUCUGUCGUGCCUUUGGUACGUACGGGUGUAAUUGGUUUCUACCUUCUGAGGAUCCUUGAUGUCAUUAAUUUGGUGUCUUGGGGAAUCAGGACUGUUACCUUGAAAAAUUAGAGUGUUUAAAGCAGGCAUACGCUUGAAUACAUUAGCAUGGAAUAAUGAAAUAGGACGUUCGAUUCUAUUUUGUUGGUUUCUAGGAUCGACGUAAUGAUUAAUAGGGAUAGUUGGGGGCAUUAGUAUUCAAUUGUCAGAGGUGAAAUUCUUGGAUUUAUUGAAGACUAACUACUGCGAAAGCAUUUGCCAAGGAUGUUUUCAUUAAUCAAGAACGAAAGUUAGGGGAUCGAAGACGAUCAGAUACCGUCGUAGUCUUAACCAUAAACU